CAAAGUGAUUGCUCGAGCUUUAUGGUCUAAAGAAGACUGGCACUUAUUAUUGUUGUGGCUAUCAUGCUCUUUUUGGCAUUUCUUGGAUUUUUAUUUUCCAAAUGAUUGGGAUGCAACCUCUGGUAUACUUGUAAGUGAUUUAAACAUUAAGCCCUUUUCAUGCUCAAUUAUUAAUAACGGUCAUUGAAAAUUUCGGAAUCAGUUCUCUUUUACUUGAUUAGCUUCUAUCCUUAUUUGGGGGCCUAAAAGAUGUGUAUACUGUGUGCAAUGAAGACAUUUUGUGCAUGGAUCUGUUACUAGUUGACUUGUUAAUGCGAUGAUUGCCUGCUCUUAUUUUUGCUAGUCUUGACUUGUUAAUUUUUAUGAAAAUGUUGACUUGCUAUAGAGGUUUGUGAUUAAUGGGGUUUCCCAAACUUCUGAUAUAUUAUAUAAUAUAUAAUGGUAAAGAAUGUUAACAAACUCCUGAUUCAGUUUGUUAAUAAUUGCUUAUUAAAAAACUAAAUCUUGUACUGCGCAUUUGUGCCUCAUCUGAUACUCAAGUAAGAUUGCCAAGUUAAAAGCAUGUUUCCUUUGAUUUUUCCUGUUUAGAAUUUAAGUGUUUUUCCAGCUCCGUCCUAUUAAUUAAAUAUGUAGUAGGUGCCACUUCGUA
This is a long non-coding RNA of Juglans microcarpa x Juglans regia, 649 nucleotides long. RefSeq lists it as uncharacterized. The transcript is spliced from 3 exons. The record is from RefSeq and is a predicted model, not a curated record. Lineage: Eukaryota; Viridiplantae; Streptophyta; Magnoliopsida; Fagales; Juglandaceae.